This 253-nucleotide ribosomal RNA is filed under the name uncultured bacterium. Its description in RNAcentral is "partial 16S ribosomal RNA". It matches the Rfam family "Bacterial small subunit ribosomal RNA", at positions 524 to 776 of the family's 1533-position model. The record is from RNAcentral.
UACGGAGGGUGCAAGCGUUAUCCGGAUUCACUGGGUUUAAAGGGUGCGUAGGUGGGCAGUUAAGUCAGUGGUGAAAUCUCCGGGCUCAACCCGGAAACUGCCAUUGAUACUAUCUGUCUUGAAUAUCGUGGAGGUAAGCGGAAUAUGUCAUGUAGCGGUGAAAUGCUUAGAUAUGACAUAGAACACCAAUUGCGAAGGCAGCUUACUACCCGAAUAUUGACACUGAGGCACGAAAGCGUGGGGAGCAAACAGG